CAAACUGACAUCACUUCAAUGUAUAGCGGGGAAAAAAACUAUAAAAUCUAUUAUGGGAUAUUCUUCUGAGAACUUGUUCUGUCCGACAGUGUAAUUUUUGCACAAUGACGUUCCCUUAAGCCGGGUGCACACUGCGCUAUUUUUAAUAGUCCUUUGUAACUGUUGCUUGUCAGACUGUACGAGCACGAUCCCCACUGUAAGCCAUGUCACACUGUCGGAUCAGUUGUCAUUAAUGUCAGACUGUACGACAGUCAAGACAUGAAAAACGGACGCAGGCAAGAAAACUCGUAUGGAGUAGGAGAAGCAACACUACAGGACUGUGCCUCAAAUCUUCGGACACUGCCAGAAUUUAAUCGGAGGAAAAAUUUGAUCGCAAAGGCCAUUAAUCGGCUGACGGGGAACGCGUCAAACUAGUGAUCAAAGACUACUGAUUUUGGCCUAGGAUUAUAGGAAUCUUUUAGGAUCUCAAAAUUUCAGACAACCAAACCAUGGCCAAAAUUGCACAGUGUGAACCCGGCUUUAAUUGUUUCCACUGACCAACUUUACAGGGAAAAGGCUGAAAAAGGUGCACCAACUGUGGAAGACCUCCUACAUUGUUCCGGUGCCCAAGAAAGGUCAUCCCAGUACCUCAAAUAACUACAGACCUGUGGUGCUGACCUCACAUGUCAUGAAGACCUUUGAGAGACUGGUCCUGAGGCACCUGAACCUGAUCUUAAGUGACUCCCUUGAUCCACUGCAGUUUGCAUACCAGACCCAAAUCAGCGUGGAUGAGGCAAUCAUCUAUCUACUGCAUAGGGCUUACUCAUACCUAGAGAGGCCAGGAAGCACAUUGAGAAUCAUGUUUUACGAUUUUUUUUACUGCAUUUAACACCAUCCGGCCCCCGUUGCUUGCAGAAAAGCUCUGGAACAAAUGGGUAGAGCACGAUAUGGUGGCUUGGAUCAUGGACUAUCUCACCAGAAGACCACAGUAGGUCUGACUGCAGGGCAGCCUGUCAGAUGUAGUGAUGUGCAACACCGGCGCACCUCAAGGAACUGUGCUUUCACCUUUUCUUUUCACCAUAUACACCUCUGACUUUAACUCUGACUACAACUCUGGAACAUGCCACCUCCAGAGAUUCUCUGAUGACUCCUCCAUCGUGGGCUGCAUCAGUGAAGAGAAGGAGGAGGAGUACAGAGGCGUAGUGGAGAGCUUCCUCAGAUGGUCUGUGGAUAACCAUCUUCAGCUCAACAUCAGCAAGACCAAAGAACUGAUAGUGGACUUCUGCCGAAACAGAAAGCCCCCAACACCUAUUACCAUCCAGGGGGAGAAAAUAGAGAUGGUGGACUCGUACCAGUUCCUGGGAGUGCACAUCAACAGCAAGCUGGACUGGUCGGAAAACACCAAAGUUCUCUACCGGAAGGGACAGAGCAGACUGUUUCUUCUAAGGAGGUUCAGGUCGUUUGAUGUGUGCAGCAAGCGAUUGCAGAUGUUCUAUCAGUCUGUAGUAGCCUGUGCCCUGUUCUUUGCUGUGACAUGCUGGGGAGGUGGAGUUAAGGCUUGGAAGGCUGACAAACUCAACAAGUUGGUGAAGAAGUCCAGCUCUGUUGUUGGUCACAAACUGGACAAUCUGUAGACUCUGGUGGAGAAGAAAAUGAGAAAUAAAUUCAGGUCCAUUUUGGGAAACCCCUUUCAUCCACUGUAUGCUGAGCUGCAGCAGAUGGAGAGCACCUUCAGCCACAGGCUCAUCCCCCAAAGUGUAAGACAGAACGCUUCAGAUGUUCCUUUGUGCCGACAGCCAUUGGACUGUACAACAACUAGCCACCCCCUCCUUUGACCUUUCUUUUGACUACACUACAAAUACGCUAUUACAGUGUUGUAAUAUGGGUAUCAUACUGUAUUUUUUGCACUGCUCACACACCACAUCACUGCUUCAAAGCUACUGCUAUAUGUCUAUACUGGUUAUACUGUACAGCUGCAAUAUGUAUAUAGUUUUGUGUACACUGUACAUAUGCGAUAUGUACAUGAGCUAUUUGUAUAUUGGGACUGUACAUUGUUGCUUGAUGUAUAUACUGCUCAUAUGUAUGUGUGUGUGUGUGUGUGUGUGUGUGUGUGU
Molecule: long non-coding RNA, 2093 nt
Organism: Ictalurus punctatus (channel catfish)
Lineage: Eukaryota; Metazoa; Chordata; Actinopteri; Siluriformes; Ictaluridae
Source: Ensembl